UUUACUAUCAUCGAUGUUAUUGAGACGAUCAUCUUUGUUGAUCGUUGUCGACGAAGGGCAUGUACCACCCCGCAACCGCGCAUUACGGUCGUGCGCGGGCAGUGGUCUGCUGGCGAGCGGUGGCGGCACCAUGGGCAUCCCGCACCGCCUGUAAACGUCGUGCCCGUGGAAGGUAGCGGCUGCGCCACAUGUGAAGGCGGCGGCCACCCUCAUGCAUAAUGGUGG
RNAcentral lists this long non-coding RNA (225 nucleotides) under Musa acuminata (dwarf banana). RNAcentral describes it as "long non-coding RNA (MACU_LNC008558)". Lineage: Eukaryota; Viridiplantae; Streptophyta; Magnoliopsida; Zingiberales; Musaceae. The record is from RNAcentral.